This 253-nucleotide ribosomal RNA is filed under the name uncultured bacterium. Its description in RNAcentral is "partial 16S ribosomal RNA". It matches the Rfam family "Bacterial small subunit ribosomal RNA", at positions 524 to 776 of the family's 1533-position model. The record is from RNAcentral.
UACAGAGGGGGCAAGCGUUGUUCGGAAUUACUGGGCGUAAAGGGCGCGUAGGCGGCCGCCUAAGUCAGACGUGAAAUCCCUCGGCUCAACCGGGGAACUGCGUCUGAUACUGGGUGGCUUGAAUCCGGGAGAGGGAUGCGGAAUUCCAGGUGUAGCGGUGAAAUGCGUAGAUAUCUGGAGGAAUACCGGUGGCGAAGGCGGCAUCCUGGACCAUUACUGACGCUGAGGCGCGAAAGCUAGGGGAGCAAACGGG